This 66-nucleotide transfer RNA is filed under the name Dyscolus rotundiceps. RNAcentral describes it as "tRNA-Thr". Lineage: Eukaryota; Metazoa; Arthropoda; Insecta; Coleoptera; Carabidae. The record is from RNAcentral.
GUUUUAAUAAUUUAAUUAAAAAUAUUGGUCUUGUAAAUCAAAUAUAAGGAAUAUUCUUUUAAAACU